This 379-nucleotide ribosomal RNA is filed under the name uncultured bacterium. RNAcentral describes it as "partial 16S ribosomal RNA". It matches the Rfam family "Bacterial small subunit ribosomal RNA", at positions 355 to 724 of the family's 1533-position model. The record is from RNAcentral.
UGGGGAAUUUUGGACAAUUGGGCGAAAGCCUGAUCCAGCAAUGCCGCGUGUGUGAAGAAGGGCCUUCGGGUUGUAAAGCACUUUUGUCCGGAAAGAAAUCCUUGGCUCUAAUACAGUCGGGGGAUGACGGUACCGGAAGAAUAAGCACCGGCUAACUACGUGCCAGCAGCCGCGGUAAUACGUAGGGUGCAAGCGUUAAUCGGAAUUACUGGGCGUAAAGCGUGCGCAGGCGGUUUGCUAAGACCGAUGUGAAAUCCCCGGGCUCAACCUGGGAACUGCAUUGGUGACUGGCAGGCUAGAGUAUGGCAGAGGGGGGUAGAAUUCCACGUGUAGCAGUGAAAUGCGUAGAGAUGUGGAGGAAUACCGAUGGCGAAGGCAG